GCCCCGUCCCACCCCAGCCCUCGAGGCCUUCCGCCGAGUCUGGGUUGCGGAAGUUCGGAUCCGCGGGGUUGGGCGAGUGGAGAGCUGCGGGGGCUUUGCUGGUGGUGGGAGGACCGGAUGGCCUGGCUGUUUAAGGAGGCCCUCCUGAGAAGUGAUACAUCAGUGUCCAUUCAGCUUUGCUAGCUCAGUCUCUGAGGGGCUAAAGUUAUAUUUGGCCAAGAAAGGGACACACCUGGUGCCAUGGGUAGGAAUCCUUACCAGCCUUGGGGCCACAGCUAUCUCAGCUCAGAAGGAAUCACUUUCAGCUCCUACAAGCCUCCCUCUGGUCCCAGCAAUGCGGUCUUUCAUGGCAGUUCACAACAUGGCGGUUUGCUUUCUUUCCAUCUGUUUUAAAGGCUCAGCGGAUCAGGUAUUUGGGGUGAUUUGAAUCAACUUUUGCACAACGUUUUUAAACCAACGGAGGCCUGGGCUUUGAGACGUGAGAUUGGCUGCCCGGCUGCAUUGUGUGCUCACUUCCUGGUUCCUGGUGGCAUUCUGUGUAUUUGUGGCUGCUGAAUAAGGGACUCGGAGUAAAACUGGGGGUUUCUGUACUGGCUUCCUCCCUUGAAACCAAGAUUCUCUCCCUUCAGAACUCAGCUGUUCUAUUGCUGGUCUGCAGGGACCCAAUGUUCUACUUGCUGCCGGAGUCUAAGACUUGGUGCUGCGUUGUGCCCAAACCUGUGCUUCAUAAAUGCCAUUUUGUCCCAUAAUUCACCUCGAGUUUUUAUUUAAAUAUUUAAUGAUGCACAAAUUGGUGUAAGUGCCUUCUCAGGGAAUCUUGGGAAAGUACAGGGAUGUAAUCAAAUGGUUUGCAAAUUGUACUUAUUUAUUUAUAGCUCUAAUUUGAAAAGAAGGACCAGAGUUAUUAAAGAGGAUAUUCGCAUUUCACAGACACCUUAUCCUAAGGAAUGAGGGGUAAUCAUUCUCAAGAAGAGGGGGAAAUGCCAGGUCAUUUCUUAGAGUUAUUGCUUCUUAUCCUUCCUGUGUUGUAAUGGUUGUUUGUGUGGGCAAUUAAAAAAGCUAUUUCUUCUGCUGUCUGCUAAAUAUGUCUUCAUCUGCCUAAUUCUGCUGUGGGGUCUCAGUCUGACCUAAUGGUUAGUUAUUUUCAUGCCAAAAAUCCACAUCCAAGUUCUUCUUCUUCUUUUUUUUUUUUUUUUUGUACCAAAAAGAUGAAGAAGAUGAAUAGAGAGGAGUGGUAGGCAUUCUGGUCCACAAUCCACCUUGAUUUCAUGGAAAGGCUUGGGAAAUAUAAGGCUGAUAUGGGCUGCACAGGGCUACAUUAUGAUUUUCAUGGGCCUCAGGCAGUCUUGCCUUCAUGGGCAAAAAAUAUGAAAGCUUAUGUUUUACAACUGUGUUGAUGGAAUGACAAAUACCUUAUCUAUUAAAACACUUUUGUGGACCUCUAAAAGUAUUGUGGUCCCUAGGUACCAUGUCUCUUACACCUAAUGAAUGUUAGCCCUGUAAAUGGACAAUGGGAAAGGAAGGUAGCUUGACUCCCUUUUUUCAAGAUCUAAAGAUACCUGGAUUCCAAUCUGUUCUCAACAGUGCCUAAAUUGGGAGCUUUUGACCACAAAUAAGGUGAAUGAAUGAUCUUC
Molecule: long non-coding RNA, 1634 nt
Organism: Mirounga angustirostris (Northern elephant seal)
Lineage: Eukaryota; Metazoa; Chordata; Mammalia; Carnivora; Phocidae
Exons: 4
Source: RefSeq, a predicted model, not a curated record